GAUGAGCUUCGGUCGAAUGGUAAAACUUCUCUUUUCCAAGGGGAGCUUCUGGAAGAACCUGAAAAUUUGAGUUUCCAGGUAAUAUAUUUAGGAACUUAUCCCUCUGGUUUAUCCAACUGUCUCUCACAUAGUCCAUGUGUACUGGUGCUUCAGAAACCAUGCAAUCCCUUGGGUGAAAGGCUCCAUUGGCACUAACCAUCAAGGGAGAAUCCCGGCCAGGUAAAAAGGGUUUAGUGUCACGCUCUGCCACGGAUGACAUGAGCUGCAGAUUGAGAUGCCCUUUAAAGGCCGGUUCGUAAUAU
Molecule: long non-coding RNA, 302 nt
Filed under: Vitis vinifera (wine grape)
Lineage: Eukaryota; Viridiplantae; Streptophyta; Magnoliopsida; Vitales; Vitaceae
Description: long non-coding RNA (VVIN_LNC000096)
Source: RNAcentral